This 274-nucleotide ribosomal RNA is filed under the name uncultured bacterium. RNAcentral describes it as "partial 16S ribosomal RNA". It matches the Rfam family "Bacterial small subunit ribosomal RNA", at positions 523 to 796 of the family's 1533-position model. The record is from RNAcentral.
AUACGGAGGGUGCGAGCGUUAAUCGGAAUUACUGGGCGUAGAGCGUACGUAGGCGGUUGGUUAAGUUAGAUGUGAAAGCCCCGGGCUUAACCUGGGAACUGCAUUUAAAACUGGCGAACUAGAGUUGAGUAGAGGGGAGUGGAAUUUCAGGUGUAGCGGUGAAAUGCGUAGAGAUCUGAAGGAACACCAGUGGCGAAGGCGACUCCCUGGACUCGAACUGACGCUGAGGUACGAAAGCGUGGGUAGCAAACGGGAUUAGAAACCCUAGUAGUCC